GUCCACACUGUAAACGAUGCAUACUGGGUGUCCGAAAUUCGUUUCGGGUACCGUAGCUAACGCGUUAAGUAUGCCGCCUGGGGAGUACGUACGCAAGUAUGAACUCAAAGGAAUUGACGGGCCCGCACAAGCGGUGGAGCAUGUGGUUUAAUUCGAAGCAACGCGAAGAACCUUACCAGGCCUUGACAUCCAAUGAACUUUCCAGAGAUGGAUUGGUGCCUUCGGGAACAUUGAGACAGGUGCUGCAUGGCUGUCGU
RNAcentral lists this ribosomal RNA (257 nucleotides) under uncultured bacterium. RNAcentral's name for it is "partial 16S ribosomal RNA". It matches the Rfam family "Bacterial small subunit ribosomal RNA", at positions 793 to 1055 of the family's 1533-position model. The record is from RNAcentral.